CCUACGGGGGGCUGCAGUAAGGAAUAUUGGUCAAUGGACGAAAGUCUGAACCAGCCAUCCCGCGUGCAGGAUGAAAGCCCUAUGGGUUGUAAACUGCUUUUAGCAGAGAAGAAAAGCUUUCAUUCAUGAGAGUCUGACGGUAUCUGCAGAAUAAGCACCGGCUAACUCCGUGCCAGCAGCCGCGGUAAUACGGAGGGUGCGGGAGUUAUCCGGAAUUACUGGUUUUAAGGGGGACGUGUAAGGCAGUGUAGAAAUCUUGUCGCUUAACGAUAAAAUUGCCAAUGAUACUGGUACUCUUGAAUUGGGUUGAGGUGAGCGGAAUGUGACAUGUAGCGGUGAAAUGCAUAGAUAUGGCAUGGAACACCAAUUGCGAAGGCAGCUAACUGGGCCUUGAUUGACGCUGAGGCACGAAAGCGUGGGUAGCGAACAGGAUUAGAUACCCCAGUAGUC
Molecule: ribosomal RNA, 450 nt
Filed under: uncultured bacterium
Lineage: Bacteria
Description: partial 16S ribosomal RNA
Rfam family: Bacterial small subunit ribosomal RNA
Source: RNAcentral